RNAcentral lists this ribosomal RNA (468 nucleotides) under uncultured bacterium. RNAcentral's name for it is "partial 16S ribosomal RNA". It matches the Rfam family "Bacterial small subunit ribosomal RNA", at positions 28 to 507 of the family's 1533-position model. The record is from RNAcentral.
GACGAACGCUGGCGGCGUGCUUAACACAUGCAAGUCGAACGGAAAGGCCCUGCUUUUGUGGGGUGCUCGAGUGGCGAACGGGUGAGUAACACGUGAGUAACCUGCCCUUGUCUUUGGGAUAACUUCAGGAAAAUGGGGCUAAUACCGGAUAGGAGCUCCUGCUGCAUGGUGGGGGUUGGAAAGUUUCGGCGGUUGGGGAUGGACUCGCGGCUUAUCAGCUUGUUGGUGGGGUAGUGGCUUACCAGGGCUUUGACGGGUAGCCGGCCUGAGAGGGUGACCGGCCACAUUGGGACUGCGAUACGGCCCAGACUCCAACGGGCGGCAGCAGUGGAGAAUAUUGCGCAAUGGGCGGAAGCCUGAUGCAGCAGCGCCGCGUGCGGGAUGCCGGCCUUCGGGUUGUAAACCGCUUUCGCCUGUGACGAGGCGUGAGUGACGGUAAUGGGUAAAGAAGCACCGGCUAACUACGUG